GACGAACGCUGGCGGCGUGCUUAACACAUGCAAGUCGAACGGAAAGGCCCUGCUUUUGUGGGGUGCUCGAGUGGCGAACGGGUGAGUAACACGUGAGUAACCUGCCCUUGACUUUGGGAUAACUUCAGGAAACUGGGGCUAAUACCGGAUAGGAGCUCCUGCUGCAUGGUGGGGGUUGGAAAGUUUCGGCGGUUGGGGAUGGACUCGCGGCUUAUCAGCUUGUUGGUGGGGUAGUGGCUUACCAAGGCUUUGACGGGUAGCCGGCCUGAGAGGGUGACCGGCCACAUUGGGACUGAGAUACGGCCCAGACUCCUACGGGAGGCAGCAGUGGGGAAUGUUGCACAAGGGGCGGAAGCCUGAUGCAGCAACGCCGCGUGCGGGAUGACGGCCUUCGGGUUGUAAACCGCUUUCGCCUGUGACGAAGCGUGAGUGACGGUAAUGGGUAAAGAAGCACCGGCUAACUACGUG
Molecule: ribosomal RNA, 468 nt
Filed under: uncultured bacterium
Lineage: Bacteria
Description: partial 16S ribosomal RNA
Rfam family: Bacterial small subunit ribosomal RNA
Source: RNAcentral